UACAGAGGUCUCAACCGUUGUUCGGAUUCAUUGGGCGUAAAGGGUGCGUAGGCGGCGCGGUAAGUCGGGUGUGAAAUCUCGGGGCUUAACUCCGAAACUGCAUUCGAUACUGCCGUGCUUGAGGACUGGAGAGGAGACUGGAAUUUACGGUGUAGCGGUGAAAUGCGUAGAUAUCGGGAGGAACACCAGUGGCGAAGGCGGCGACCUGGGCCAAUAUUGACGCUGAGGUGCGAAAGCGUGGGGAGCAAACAGG
RNAcentral lists this ribosomal RNA (253 nucleotides) under uncultured bacterium. RNAcentral describes it as "partial 16S ribosomal RNA". It matches the Rfam family "Bacterial small subunit ribosomal RNA", at positions 524 to 776 of the family's 1533-position model. The record is from RNAcentral.